Molecule: ribosomal RNA, 428 nt
Filed under: uncultured bacterium
Lineage: Bacteria
Description: bacterial SSU rRNA
Rfam family: Bacterial small subunit ribosomal RNA
Source: RNAcentral
AAUGAACGCUGGCGGCGUGCUUUACACAUGCAAGUCGAGCGAGGCGUGUAGCAAUACACAGUCGAGCGGCGAACGGGUGAGUAACACGUGGAUUAUCUGCCCUGAGGUGGGGGAUAACCCGGGGAAACUCGGGCUAAUACCGCAUAUGACCGUGAGGUCAAAGGGGGGUCGCAAGACCUCUCGCCUUUGGAGGAGUCCGCGUCCGAUUAGCUAGUUGGUAGGGUAAUGGCCACCAAGGCGACGAUCGGUAGCCGGCCUGAGAGGGUGAUCGGCCACACUGGAACUGAGACACGGUCCAGACUCCUACGGGAGGCAGCAGUGGGGAAUUUUGGGCAAUGGGCGAAAGCCUGACCCAGCAACGCCGCGUGAGGGAGGAAAUCCUUCGGGAUGUAAACCUCACAAGCAAGGGAAGAGCGCAUGAAGGAGAA